GUGAGACCCUGUCUCUAAAUAAAUAAUGUAAUUGCGGGAGCAAGACCCCGUCUCUAAAUCAAUGAAUGAAAGUAAUUGCACUAUGACGUGAGGAUGGAUCCAAUGUCAUCAGCUCCGUUACAAUUUUCUGGGACCACCAUCGUAUAUGCAGUUGUUGACUGGAACGUUGCUAUGUGGCACACGUCCGUCCUUUCUGAUGCAGCACUUACCGCGUGGUGACACUGCUCUAAGUGCUUGACAGAUAGUGU
Molecule: long non-coding RNA, 248 nt
Filed under: Homo sapiens (human)
Lineage: Eukaryota; Metazoa; Chordata; Mammalia; Primates; Hominidae
Description: non-protein coding lnc-BCL7A-2:1
Source: RNAcentral